CAGUAGCCGCGGUAAUACGUAGGUGGCAAGCGUUGUCCGGAAUUAUUGGGCGUAAAGGGCUCGCAGGCGGUUUCUUAAGUCUGAUGUGAAAGCCCCCGGCUCAACCGGGGAGGGUCAUUGGAAACUGGGAAACUUGAGUGCAGAAGAGGAGAGUGGAAUUCCACGUGUAGCGGUGAAAUGCGUAGAGAUGUGGAGGAACACCAGUGGCGAAGGCGACUCUCUGGUCUGUAACUGACGCUGAGGCUCGAAAGCGUGGGUAGCGAACAGGAUUAGAUACCCCUGUAGUCCCUGUCUCUUAUAA
This 301-nucleotide ribosomal RNA is filed under the name uncultured bacterium. RNAcentral's name for it is "partial 16S ribosomal RNA". It matches the Rfam family "Bacterial small subunit ribosomal RNA", at positions 509 to 809 of the family's 1533-position model. The record is from RNAcentral.